UAACCUGCGGAGGGAUCAUUACACAACAAAAAUAUGAGGGUGUGGUUUGCUGGCNACAGCGUCCGCCCCAAGUAUUUUUCACCCAUGUCUUUUGCGCACUUUUUGUUUCCUGGGCGAGUUCGCUCGCCACCAGGACCCAACCAUAAACCUUUUUUUAUGCAGUUGCAAUCAGCGUCAGUAUAAUAAUUCAAUUUAUUAAAACUUUCAACAACGGAUCUCUUGGUUCUGGCAUCGAUGAAGAACGCAGCGAAAUGCGAUACGUAGUGUGAAUUGCAGAAUUCAGUGAAUCAUCGAAUCUUUGAACGCACAUUGCGCCCUUUGGUAUUCCAAAGGGCAUGCCUGUUCGAGCGUCAUUUGUACCCUCAAGCUUUGCUUGGUGUUGGGCGUCUUUUUGUCUCUCCCCUUGUUGGGGGAGACUCGCCUUAAAACGAUUGGCAGCCGACCUACUGGUUUUCGGAGCGCAGCACAAAUUUGCGCCUUCCAAUCCACGGGGCGGCAUCCAGCAAGCCUUUGUUUUCUAUAACAAAUCCACAUUUUGACCUCGGAUCAGGUAGGGAUACCCGCUGAACUUAAGCAUAUCAAUA
RNAcentral lists this ribosomal RNA (584 nucleotides) under Curvularia spicifera. Its description in RNAcentral is "eukaryotic LSU rRNA". The stretch from base 200 to 353 matches the Rfam family "5.8S ribosomal RNA". The record is from RNAcentral. Lineage: Eukaryota; Fungi; Ascomycota; Dothideomycetes; Pleosporales; Pleosporaceae.